RNAcentral lists this ribosomal RNA (253 nucleotides) under uncultured bacterium. Its description in RNAcentral is "partial 16S ribosomal RNA". It matches the Rfam family "Bacterial small subunit ribosomal RNA", at positions 524 to 776 of the family's 1533-position model. The record is from RNAcentral.
UACAGAGGGUGCGAGCGUUACUCGGAAUUACUGGGCGUAAAGCGUGCGUAGACGGUCAUGUAAGUCGGAUGUGAAAGCCCCGGGCUCAACCUGGGAAUUGCAUUCGAGACUGCAUGGCUUGGGUGCGGAAGAGGGAAGCGGAAUUUCCGGUGUAGCGGUGAAAUGCGUAGAUAUCGGAAGGAACACCAGUGGCGAAAGCGGCUUCCUGGUCCGACACCGACGUUCAGGCACGAAAGCGUGGGGAGCAAACAGG